RNAcentral lists this transfer RNA (72 nucleotides) under Camelus ferus (Wild Bactrian camel). It matches the Rfam family "tRNA". From Rfam's summary of the family: Transfer RNA (tRNA) molecules are approximately 80 nucleotides in length. Their secondary structure includes four short double-helical elements and three loops (D, anti-codon, and T loops). The record is from Rfam by way of RNAcentral. Lineage: Eukaryota; Metazoa; Chordata; Mammalia; Artiodactyla; Camelidae.
GAGAGUGUAGCUCAGUGGUAGAACAUGUGCUUGGCAUGCACGAGGUCCUGGGUUCAAUCCCCAGUACCUUCC